GUGGAGGAUGGACUCGCGGCCUAUCAGCUUGUUGGUGAGGUAAUGGCUUACCAAGGCGACGACGGGUAGCCGGCCUGAGAGGGCGAUCGGCCACACUGGGACUGAGACACGGCCCAGACUCCUACGGGAGGCAGCAGUGGGGAAUAUUGCACAAUGGGCGAAAGCCUGAUGCAGCGACGCCGCGUGAGGGAUGAAGGCCUUCGGGUUGUAAACCUCUUUCAGCAGGGAAGAAGCGACUGGGUUUUCUCAGACGUGACGGUACCUGCAGAAGAAGCACCGGCUAACUACGUGCCAGCAGCCGCGGUAAUACGUAGGGUGCAAGCGUUGUCCGGAAUUAUUGGGCGUAAAGAGCUUGUAGGCGGUUUGUCGCGUCUGCUGUGAAAUUUCGGGGCUCAACCCCGAACUUGCAGUGGGUACGGGCAGACUAGAGUGUGGUAGGGGAGACUGGAAUUCCUGGUGUAGCGGUGAAAUGCGCAGAUAUCAGGGGGAACACCGAUGGCGAAGGCAGGUCUCUGGGCCACUACUGACGCUGAGAAGCGAAAGCAUGGGGAGCGAACAGGAUUAGAUACCCUGGUAGUCCAUGCCGUAAACGUUGGGAACUAGGUGUGGGUCUCAUUCCACGAGAUCCGUGCCGCAGCUAACGCAUUAAGUUCCCCGCCUGGGGAGUACGGCCGCAAGGCUAAAACUCAAAGGAAUUGACGG
This 702-nucleotide ribosomal RNA is filed under the name uncultured bacterium. RNAcentral's name for it is "bacterial SSU rRNA". It matches the Rfam family "Bacterial small subunit ribosomal RNA", at positions 218 to 916 of the family's 1533-position model. The record is from RNAcentral.